This 468-nucleotide ribosomal RNA is filed under the name uncultured bacterium. Its description in RNAcentral is "partial 16S ribosomal RNA". It matches the Rfam family "Bacterial small subunit ribosomal RNA", at positions 28 to 507 of the family's 1533-position model. The record is from RNAcentral.
GACGAACGCUGGCGGCGUGCUUAACACAUGCAAGUCGAACGGAAAGGCCCUGCUUUUGUGGGGUGCUAGUGUGGCGAACGGGUGAGUAACAAGUGAGUAACCUGCCCUUGACUUUGGGAUAACUUCAGGAUACUGGGGCUAAUACCGGCUAGAAGCUCUUGCUGCUUGGCGGGGGUUGGAAAGUUUCGGCGGUUGGGUAUGGAAUCGUGGCAUAUCAGCUUGUAGGUGGGGUUGUGGAGUACCAAGGCUUUGACGAGUAGCCGGACUGAGAGGGUGACCGGCCACAGUGGGACUGAGGUACGGCCCGUACUGCUUCGGGCGGCAGCGGUGGAAAAUAGAGCAAGAUGGGCGGAGGGCGGAAGCAGCAACGCCGCGUGCGGGAUGACGGCCAACGGGUUGGAAACCGCUUUCUCCUAUGACGAAGCGUGAUUGACGGUAAUGGGUAAAAAAGCAACGGCUAACUACGUG